Molecule: long non-coding RNA, 318 nt
Filed under: Trifolium pratense (red clover)
Lineage: Eukaryota; Viridiplantae; Streptophyta; Magnoliopsida; Fabales; Fabaceae
Description: long non-coding RNA (TPRA_LNC004047)
Source: RNAcentral
UUAUAACGAGGGAGAAUGAGCGAAACCCGUUACUGAAACCCGUACCCGCGUUCCAGACCCGGUUCUGGCAAUGGGUCAACCCGCCAGAGGUUGAAGAUGAACAGUAGAGGUUUGCGAAGCCCACUCUCGGGAUGGAGAGAGUGAUGGAGCGUGAUCACGAAUGGAUGGUUCGAUUUUGAUUCCGUUUUUUGCGGUGUUCACGUAAUCAUGUUUUUGAUGUUUCUAUAUAUUUUUCAAUAUUUUCUCCGCUGCGUAAAUAAUUUAUAUGAAUUAUUUCAUGAUGAUAUAAUUGUUUGAUCAUGUAUACAAUUUUUAUAA